GCGGGGAUAGUUCAGUUGGGAGAACGUCAGACUGAAGCGAUAACUUCAUUCAUCAAAUCUGAAGGCCGUGUGUUCGAUCCACACUCACCGCA
RNAcentral lists this transfer RNA (92 nucleotides) under Nemania abortiva. Its description in RNAcentral is "tRNA-Phe". It matches the Rfam family "tRNA". Rfam says of the family: Transfer RNA (tRNA) molecules are approximately 80 nucleotides in length. Their secondary structure includes four short double-helical elements and three loops (D, anti-codon, and T loops). The record is from RNAcentral. Lineage: Eukaryota; Fungi; Ascomycota; Sordariomycetes; Xylariales; Xylariaceae.